Pogona vitticeps (central bearded dragon) is the source of this 296-nucleotide non-coding RNA. NCBI's taxonomy places the organism in Eukaryota, Metazoa, Chordata, Lepidosauria, Squamata, Agamidae. The record is from RefSeq and is a predicted model, not a curated record.
UUCUUAACCCAGUUUUUUUUCUUCCCAUUGGUAGCUCCUGGGGCAUUUGCUGGUGGUGGCCACCAAGGUGGCCCGAGCGGAAGGCCUCUCGGAGGGCUACCGUGUCGUGGUGAACGACGGGAAGGAUGGUGCUCAAUCGGUCUAUCACCUCCACUUCCACGUGCUGGGGGGGCGCCAGAUGCGCUGGCCCCCUGGCUGAACGGCCCUCCUGCCUCAGCAAGGACAGGCUGUGAGACAAAGCGGGGGGGGGGGCGGUCAUGAAAUAAAGUCUCCUGAAAUAAAGCCCCAUCCUGGGA